GACGAACGCUGGCGGCGCGCUUAACACAUGCAAGUCGAACGGAAAGGCCUGCUUUCCCUUGUGGAUUGCGGGUACUCGAGUGGCGAACGGGUGAGUAACACGUGAGUGAUCUGCCCCCAACUUGGGUAUAAGCCUGGGAAACUGGGUCUAAUUCCCGAUAGGACUGCAGGGUGGUGCCUGUGGUGGAAAACGAUUUUCUAGUGGUUGGGGAUGAGCUCGCGGCCUAUCAGCUUGUUGGUGGGGUAAUGGCCUACCAAGGCGGCGACGGGUAGCCGGCCUGGGAGGGUGGACGGCCACAUUGGGACUGCGAUACGGCCCAGACUACUACGGGAGGCAGCAGUGGGGAAUAUUGCACAAUGGGCGGAAGCCUGAUGCAGCGACGCCGCGUGGGGGAUGACGGCCUUCGGGUUGUAAACUCCUUUCGACCGCGAGGAAGCCACCUGGUUGGAAGGGUGGUGACGGUAGUGGUAGAAGAAGCACCGGCUAACUACGUG
This 494-nucleotide ribosomal RNA is filed under the name uncultured bacterium. RNAcentral's name for it is "partial 16S ribosomal RNA". It matches the Rfam family "Bacterial small subunit ribosomal RNA", at positions 28 to 507 of the family's 1533-position model. The record is from RNAcentral.